Molecule: non-coding RNA, 196 nt
Filed under: Heterosigma akashiwo
Lineage: Eukaryota; Raphidophyceae; Chattonellales; Chattonellaceae
Source: RNAcentral
GUUGAAGUAGUAGUAACGUUUUCUUUUUUGUGUCUCUUUUCUAUUCUUUUUCUACUUUCACUUUACUUAUUUUGGGCAAUUUUCCUGUCCUCUUGAAUGAAUUCAAUACUGCACAACCAAAAACAAAAUUCCACCCCCCCAAAGCUGCACAAUUUGCCAUUUUCUGACUGCAACUGUAAGAAGAAAGAAAACAUAU